GGAGGGUCCGAGCGUUAAUCGGAAUUACUGGGCGUAAAGCGUACGCAGGCGGUUUGUUAAGCGAGAUGUGAAAGCCCCGGGCUCAACCUGGGAACUGCAUUUCGAACUGACAAACUAGAGUUUUGUAGAGGGUGGUAGAAUUUCAGGUGUAGCGGUGAAAUGCGUAGAGAUCUGAAGGAAUACCAGUGGCGAAGGCGGCCACCUGGACAAUAACUGACGCUCAUGUACGAAAGCGUGGGGAGCAAACGGGAUUAGAUACCCCGGUAGUCCACGCCGUAAACGAUGUCAACUAGCCGACUGGCGCCUUGAGCGCUGGGUGGCGCAGCUAACGCAUUAAGUUGACCGCCUGGGGAGUACGGCCGCAAGGUUAAAACUCAAAUGAAUUGACGGGGGCCCGCACAAGCGGUGGAGCAUGUGGUUUAAUUCGAUGCAACGCGAAGAACCUUACCUACUCUUGACAUCCACGGAAUUUAGCAGAGAUGCUUUAGUGCCUUCGGGAACCGUGAGACAGGUGCUGCAUGGCUGUCGUCAGCUCGUGUUGUGAAAUGUUGGGUUAAGUCCCGCAACGAGCGCAACCCCUAUCCUUAGUUGCCAGCACGUAAUGGUGGGAACUCUAGGGAGACUGCCGGUGAUAAACCGGAGGAAGGUGGGGACGACGUCAAGUCAUCAUGGCCCUUACGAGUAGGGCUACACACGUGCUACAAUGGUACAUACAAAGGGUUGCGAAGCCGCGAGGUCGAGCCAAUCCCAAAAAGUGUAUCGUAGUCCGGAUCGGAGUCUGCAACUCGACUCCGUGAAGUCGGAAUCGCUAGUAAUCGUAGAUCAGAAUGCUACGGUGAAUACGUUCCCGGGCCUU
RNAcentral lists this ribosomal RNA (856 nucleotides) under uncultured organism. Its description in RNAcentral is "bacterial SSU rRNA". It matches the Rfam family "Bacterial small subunit ribosomal RNA", at positions 527 to 1382 of the family's 1533-position model. The record is from RNAcentral.